AUACGGAGGACGCGAGCGUUAUCCGGAUUCAUUGGGUUUAAAGGGUGCGCAGGCGGCCGUGCAAGUCAGCGGUGAAAGCCCGGGGCUCAACCCCGGAAGUGCCGUUGAUACUGCAUGGCUGGAAUGCGGUCGAGGCGGGCGGAACGUGGGGUGUAGCGGUGGAAUGCGUAGAUAUGCCACAGAACGCCGAUAGCGGAGGCAGCUCGCCAGGCCUGCAUUGACGCUCGGGCACGAAAGCGUGGGGAUCGAACAGGAUUAGAUACCCUGGUAGUCCACGCCGUAAACGAUGGGCGCUCGUCGUCGGCGGCAGACAGUCGGCGGCCAAGCGAAAGCGAUAAGCGCCCCACCUGGGGAGUACGGUCGCAAGGCUGAAACUCAAAUGAAUUGGCGGGG
This 393-nucleotide ribosomal RNA is filed under the name uncultured bacterium. RNAcentral's name for it is "partial 16S ribosomal RNA". It matches the Rfam family "Bacterial small subunit ribosomal RNA", at positions 523 to 918 of the family's 1533-position model. The record is from RNAcentral.